RNAcentral lists this ribosomal RNA (415 nucleotides) under uncultured Bifidobacterium sp. RNAcentral describes it as "bacterial SSU rRNA". It matches the Rfam family "Bacterial small subunit ribosomal RNA", at positions 213 to 640 of the family's 1533-position model. Lineage: Bacteria; Bacillati; Actinomycetota; Actinomycetes; Bifidobacteriales; Bifidobacteriaceae. The record is from RNAcentral.
UCGCGGUAUGGGAUGGGGUCGCGUCCUAUCAGCUUGACGGCGGGGUAACGGCCCACCGUGGCUUCGACGGGUAGCCGGCCUGAGAGGGCGACCGGCCACAUUGGGACUGAGAUACGGCCCAGACUCCUACGGGAGGCAGCAGUGGGGAAUAUUGCACCAUGGGCGCAAGCCUGAUGCAGCGACGCCGCGUGAGGGAUGGAGGCCUUCGGGUUGUAAACCUCUUUUAUCGGGGAGCAAGCGAGAGUGAGUUUACCCGUUGAAUAAGCACCGGCUAACUACGUGCCAGCAGCCGCGGUAAUACGUAGGGUGCAAGCGUUAUCCGGAAUUAUUGGGCGUAAAGGGCUCGUAGGCGGUUCGUCGCGUCCGGUGUGAAAGUCCAUCGCUUAACGGUGGAUCCGCGCCGGGUACGGGCGGG